Molecule: long non-coding RNA, 784 nt
Organism: Dendrobium catenatum
Lineage: Eukaryota; Viridiplantae; Streptophyta; Magnoliopsida; Asparagales; Orchidaceae
Exons: 2
Source: RefSeq, a predicted model, not a curated record
UUUCCUUUAUUAAGCAGAUGGGCCCUUCGCUUGGCCAAAGCGUGCGAACCGAGCAGCUCUUCGCGAUCCGGAAGCAAGACGGAGAGAGUUAGGGAGGCGAGCGAGAGAGCAGUUUUUCCGGUGAGAGCUAGAGGGAGGAGAAGAAUCGAAAGCCCGGCCCUAUCUAGGUGGAGCCGAGAAGAAGGUUCAAAAGCUUCGUAUUGCUCGAUUCUUGCUCGUGACAAAGCAAAGAAGUGAUCAGAUUCUGCAGAGACAAAGCACUCUCAAAAUCUGGGAUCGAAAGCUCAACUGCUGAUCCACGGCUGCGGUCAACGCAGAGCUUCAUGAAAGAAGGAAAGGAGAACGUGGCGCUCAUAAAACCAUACUGUCGGUCGAAUCUUCUUUCAAACUUUCUUCUGAAUCGAAAAUCCAGUCCCUCGAAAUCAAGCUUCUUCCAGCAUCGAGGAUCCAAAGAAGCUUCAUACCAAGAUUUACAAACAAAUGGAAGAACAAUUGUGAGUUCUUCCAAUCCUACAUAGCAGAAAACACAAACCAAGCAAUCAGAAGCCAAAUUCUCCCACUUUCUUUCUUCAACUUCCAUGAUCUCUCCGUCUCUCUCUCUCUCUAUCUGUGUUUGUCUGUCUGAUCACUGUAAUCUCUUCUUAAUCCGACUAUUUCAUGGAAAGGUUCUUAAUAAACUUGGCGGAAAAUGAUGAGCAAAUGUCGUGCUCAUGAAAACUCAGUAAGGAUUAAAUUAAGAUGGAUUUUAUGCAAAUAACUUAAAAUAAUAAUACUAUGAACGGUA